This is a long non-coding RNA of Gavialis gangeticus (Gharial), 574 nucleotides long. RefSeq lists it as uncharacterized. The record is from RefSeq and is a predicted model, not a curated record. NCBI's taxonomy places the organism in Eukaryota, Metazoa, Chordata, Crocodylia, Gavialidae. The transcript has 3 exons.
CUGCCAGAGCUGUUCUGUGAUCUCCUGGAUGUGAGGAAGAAACCGUUAGUCUUGGAGUUAUGGAUUCCCAGGUGUCUGCCCCAGGCUGACUCUGGUCUUCUCUAUCUCUUCAGGCAACAUGUACAUCUUUGGAGAUGCUAACCACCAUUCACUCCAGCCCAGUGCUGAGGGAGCUGCUCCCAGAGAUCCUCUGUGCUCUUCUGGAGCAAGCUGGCUGCACUGUGGGGCAGGACAUGCCAAUGCCCACAGCGAGCAUCCAGAGGAGGCAGCUGUGGAAGGGGCAGCUGCAAGCAGUGGGCAACCCUAGCAGGGCUCUGCUCCUGUUGGGCAUUAUAACACCCAGAUUCAUAGGGCAGGUCCUGCAGUGGGUCACUUCCACAACUGAAAAACUGUGUGUUACUGGUACAGCCUUCAUUAGCCAGCUUAUAUGCGACCCCACCAUCGAAGAGCAGAAGCUCCUGAAGCCAGUGAUUCGUUUACUUCAACAGCAAGCCAGGGACUCUAAUAACCUGGUUCAGCAGAUGGCAGCCAGAGGACUGGGCAAUAUACUUUAUGGUGCCCUGGAGCAGGUGAG